Long non-coding RNA from Apus apus (common swift), 620 nucleotides. RefSeq lists it as uncharacterized. The transcript is spliced from 3 exons. NCBI's taxonomy places the organism in Eukaryota, Metazoa, Chordata, Aves, Apodiformes, Apodidae. The record is from RefSeq and is a predicted model, not a curated record.
ACAGAAUCAGUUAAGAAAAAGUCACUGGUGGUGCAGAUUGUGCUGACAGCUCAUACAGGAGUGCUGCUAGAUUUCUAACCAUUGCCUCAAAACACUGCUUGCAAACUUCAGCUCUAUAAUGAAAACAUAAAUGAAGCUUGAAGAACUGAAAACAAAACCUGUUUCCCGGCUCUGGAAUCUCUCCUGUUGAUAGAUGAUUCUGCACAAAGAAUACAGCUGUAUUUAAGCUUGCUGCUUCUCCAGAUCAGAGAUGAAAUGUUCAGGUGGAGAGUCAACUGCCUAAUUGUCAUAAGGCUAAAGAUUUGUUCACUUGCUUAAGAUGCAAUGAGUCCUGGCGUGCUCCCUGCUUACACAAGAGGAUUUCUGCAUAGAGGCAUGCUCCAGAAAGGUAUUUGUGUAGAAAAGUGAAAACUUCUGCAGGUCAGUGUAAUCUCUGUUACCUUAAGAAUUCCUGAGAGUGUAACGUGGUCUGGGUUAUUGGGGUUUUUUUCCCUUUAACGCAGCAGUGGCUUAUGGGAAAGAGUAAGGGCUAUAAAAUCUGCAUCCUGAUUGAUGAACCUCAAUAUCAAAUGUCAGAAGCUCUGAAGGUAGAGUCUUUUCAAUUGAUGUUUUAAGUUGUU